CAUUCCAAAAUUGGAUUUGAAAAGUCAAAUCUUCAAAUUUCUGAUUAUUAGGGUUUGUUGGUUGGAGAGAGAUUAACUGAGGCCUAAGCUCAGCUCAAAGAGAGAGAAAGAGAGAGAAGCCUCCAACCUAACAAACCCUAAGAUUCGUACGAGAACAAAUCAAGAAAAUUCUUGGGGCAUUUAAAAACAUAUUAUUUGGAGCUCUUAGCUUUUGUGAUUGCAAUUAUCAUCCAUAAAGUAGGUUUUUGGGUUCUCAAAAGUUAUAUUGGAGAAAUGAGGCAGUGAAUGAAUUGAUGCUUGUUAAUAAAUGUACUGAGCGUGAUGAUAGUUCUUGUGUAUAGUGGUGGUGGUUGUGUUUUUUCCUAUAAAGAGGUGCAAGAAAAUCAGCUGUGGUUGAUAAGCCGACAUGCCGAGUAAUUAUCUUUUCAGAUUAAGCCACGCAGCUAGGCAGGGACUCCAGAAAUCUAUUUCUGGGCAAGAAAGUGGGCCCCAGGACUCAGUAGAGAUUUUGGUUGGCCAAGGGAGAUUGUUGUUGGGCAAUUCAAAGAGCUUCUAUUCCAUACCAUUUGCAAGAUCAGGUGACCUAAAUGUGUUUGUUCGGCCUGGAACUUUAGCUGCCACACAGGCGAAUUUGCAUAUAGUCAACCAGAAAAAGAAUCUUUCUGUAGUUGGAUCUAUUUCUCGUGCAAUUUCUAUUCCGUCUGUAUCAGGGCCUGCAUUUCAGGUCUGUGGCUAUCACAUUGAUCGCUUGAUAUCUGAGCCUACUCACGGUUUGUUGGACACUAACUAUCACAAAGCACCUAUGGAGAUCUGUGGUUCAAGAACUUCUCUGCCUGGCUGUUCCUCUAGUAAAAUGGCUUCAAGGCAUCUCAAUCCUGUUUUGGCUGUAAAUAGUCCUGUUACUUCUUAUAGCAGUAGAAGCUUUAAUUGUAGAAAAGCCAGCAUGAGUUUGAGAAAUAAAAAUCAGCCCAACAACUUCUUACUUUACGGAUACUUCGCAUACAAUGUGGCAAAGAGAAAGGGAAAUUCUAAUCUAUAUGAAGGUUUUGGAUUGACGGGGUUCCACACUUCAUCACCUGCUUGUUCACCUGCGGGCACUGCUCCUGAUGUGUCCUUUGGUAACUCUACAUGCGAGGUGCAGCUUUCAAGUUCAGCAGAUUCUUCCGAACAGAAUAUCCACAUUGAUAGAACCCUGAAGCUAAACUCAGGAUCAUGUUACCUGCCUCAUCCUGACAAAGAAGAAACGGGUGGAGAGGAUGCUCAUUUUAUUUGUGGUGAUGAACAAGCAAUUGGUGUAGCUGAUGGUGUUGGUGGUUGGGCGGAUCUUGGUGUUGAUGCUGGGCAGUAUGCACGAGAGCUCAUGUCUAACUCAGUAACUGCGAUUCAAGAUGAACCAAAACGUUCAGUGGACCCAGCCAGGGUCCUCGAUAAAGCUUAUACAUGCACAAAAGCCAAAGGUUCCUCAACUGCCUGUAUAAUCGCCCUUACCGAUCAGGGCCUGCAUGCCAUUAAUUUAGGAGACAGUGGAUUUAUGGUGGUUAGAGAUGGAUGUACUGUUUUCAGAUCCCCUGUGCAGCAGCAUGAUUUCAAUUUCACCUAUCAACUAGAGAGCGGUAACUCUGGCGACUUGCCAAGCUCUGGAGAGGUGUUCAAAAUACCGGUGGCACCAGGAGAUGUUAUAAUAGCUGGUACUGAUGGGCUGUUUGACAAUUUGUACAACAAUGAUAUUACUGCAAUUGUGGUUCAUGCAACAAGAGCUGGCUUAGGGCCACAGGUGACAGCUCAAAAGAUAGCUGCAUUGGCUCGGCAAAGAGCACAGGAUAAAAACAGGCAGACCCCUUUCUCUGCUGCAGCCCAAGAAGCUGGGUUCCGUUACUAUGGCGGGAAGCUGGACGAUAUAACUGUGGUUGUCUCCUACAUAAGCAGUGACAGAAAUGUAUGAGCACUUUGUAUAUCCGCCACCAGCCCUUCUUUUAUUCUCCAUAGCUUGCAGGAAAGAUCCAAUGGCUUAUAGAUGUAGUUGCGAGCUUUCCUACUUGCUUUGAAACGCUUGGCUUGGGGGCACUAAGUUCCAUUUAAAGGGGAUGUCAAACCUUGCAUAAUAUCGUGUGAAUGUGUCGAAUAUCACUUCUGAUUUACUUGUUUCUUGGCAAUUUACCCCCUCUUUCCAACUUCAUGGACCUCACCCAAAAAAAGGUAGAUCGCGAACCUCUCCCUCUCCCUCUCUCUCUCUCUCUCUCUCUCUCUCUCUCUCUCUCUCUCUCUCUCUCUCUCUCUCUUGCUUUCCGCUUAGGGGAAGAUCAUGAGUGCUGAUCAUGUAUAUGGAAUAGGUGUUAGACAGAAAGGUGCUCCUAUGGUGCUUGAUAUAGGAAUUGUCUUUCUGGAGAUAUGUUGGUUUCCAUAGAAUGCUAGCUAGGACACAUUAACUUGCAGAAUGAAGCUUUCUUGAAUUCUUUGGAACUUAAUUCUUGUCAUCUUUCCAUUGUAAUAAUUCUUGGACAUGAUUUUAGUGUAAAUAGAUGAGCACUUUCGUUGUUCCUCUGUAUCUUUUUUGUUUUAUUUGGUUGACUUGUUGAGGUUGAGCUAGUCGAAAUCUUAAUUUUAGGUUGGUUAAUGUCCCACUUGUGGGAUUAUACUGGGUUGUUGUUGUUGUUGUAUUUUAGGUCGGUUAAUGUAAUUCCCGUUUGCUGUGAA
Nicotiana attenuata is the source of this 2694-nucleotide RNA transcript. It is a transcript of the gene named probable protein phosphatase 2C 55, with no coding region annotated. The record is from RefSeq and is a predicted model, not a curated record. Lineage: Eukaryota; Viridiplantae; Streptophyta; Magnoliopsida; Solanales; Solanaceae. The transcript is spliced from 6 exons.